Molecule: long non-coding RNA, 361 nt
Organism: Hemicordylus capensis (graceful crag lizard)
Lineage: Eukaryota; Metazoa; Chordata; Lepidosauria; Squamata; Cordylidae
Exons: 3
Source: RefSeq, a predicted model, not a curated record
AGGUGGCGAGAUGCAGUGAGUCAAUAGCUGGAUGGAGAUGGCCGUGGUCCCCAGUCAGCAGGUGCAGAAUCAAUGGAAGUUCAUUCGCAGGCCUAGACAGUUGAGGAGGCGUAGAGCCAGCCGUAUGUGGUUGCGACCAGAAGCCAGUUGUCAAUUAUAGGAACAUCCUUCGCAUUGAAGGCAGAGAUGAGCUGCUACAAUGGAUAUACACUUUGUGAAGUCUGAGUGGAAGGACUUCAUAUUGAUUUAUGCUCCUGGAUGGUUCCAAUUCAAGGAAUAGAAAAUGUCUGCAAGGGGGAGCACCACAUCGCUACAUUCUAUUAAAGGUGUGGCUUUGUUUACUGUCUGGUGAAGGUCAGGC